AAGAAAGUAAGAAAGGGCGUAUGGCGGAUGCCUAGGCUCACGGAGGCGAUGAAGGACGUGAUAAGCUGCGAUAAGCUUCGGGUAGGUGCAAAUAACCCUUGAUCCGAAGAUUUCCGAAUGGGACAACCUAGCCGUCUGAAGGACGGUUACUAGCACUUAAGUGUUAGAGCUAACGCAGGGAACUGAAACAUCUUAGUACCUGCAGGAAGAGAAAAUAAAUGAAUGAUUCCCCCAGUAGUGGCGAGCGAACGGGGAACAGCCCAAACCAGUGGCGUCGCAAGGCGUGGCUGGGGUUGUAGGACCGCGAUAUUGUACUGAAAUGGUGAGUGGAAGUAUCUGGAAAGUUACAUCACAGAAGGUGAUAAUCCUGUACACGAAGCCAAAUCAGACAUAGCGGUAUCCUGAGUAACGCGGGACACGAGGAAUCCUGCGCGAAUCUGCCGGGACCAUCCGGUAAGGCUAAAUACUCCCGUGAGACCGAUAGCGAACGAGUACUGUGAAGGAAAGGUGAAAAGAACCCCGAGCAGGGGAGUGAAAUAGUUCCUGAAACCAUACGCCUACAAGCGGUCGGAGCAUCUUACGAUGUGACGGCGUGCCUUUUGCAUAAUGAUCCUACGAGUUACCGUCACUGGCGAGGUUGAGUGUCACGAGACACGUAGCCGCAGUGAAAGCGAGCCUGAAUAGGGCGCACAGUCAGUGGGGGUAGACGCGAAACCAAGUGAUCUACACUUGGCCAGGAUGAAGUCCCGGUAACACGGGAUGGAGGUCCGCACCAAUAAGCGUUGAAAAGCUUCUGGAUGAGCCGAGUGUAGGAGUGAAAGGCCAAUCAAACUUGGAGAUAGCUCGUACUCCCCGAAAGGCAUUUAGGUGCCGCGUCGGAUGGUCACCGUGAGAGGUAGAGCGACCGAUAGGACAAGAGGGCUUCACCGCCUAUCGAGUCCUGACGAACUCCGAAUGCUCACGGUCUGCAGUCCGGCAGUAAGGGGGCGGGUGCUAAGGUCCGUCCCCGAGAGGAGAAGAAUCCAGACCGCCGUCUAAGGUCCCGGAGUUCUGCCUGAGUUAGUCUAACGAAGUCUGGUCCCUAUGACAGCUAGGAUGUUGGCUUGGAAGCAGCCAUUCAUUCAAAGAGUGCGUAACAGCUCACUAGUCGAGGGUCCGGGCAUGGAUAAUAAUCGGGUAUAAGGCAGACACCGAAGGCGCGGGAUAGCAAUUAUAAAAGUAUCGGUAGGGGAGCAUACUCACAGCGUCGAAUGGUGUACGUAAGUUAUCCUGGAGCGGUGAGUAAAGCAAAUGUAGGAAUAAGUAACGAUAAGGAGGGUUAGAUUCCCUCCCGCUGUAAGACCAAGGUUUCCCGGGCAAUGCCAAUCAGCCCGGGGUCAGUCGGGUCCUAAGUCUAAGCCGAACGGCGAUGGCGAUGGCAGAGACGGUUAAUAUUCCGUCACUGCCGCAUGGGGCGACGUGGAGACGGAGCAGUGAAACCACCGCGGGGCGACGGAAGUCCCCGUUGAAGAGUGUAGGCGUUGAGGAUGGCAGGCAAAUCCACCAUCCGAGCUGAACUUGAGAGUACGGAGUCCUCCUCGGAGGAAUCUGAUAGUGUGGGUAAUCAUACUCCCGAGAAAAUCCGCUAAGCUUAACCCAUGCGGCACCCGUACCGCAAACGGACACACGUGGUCGGGUAGAACAUACUAAGGCGUUGAGAGAUUCAUGGUUAAGGAACUAGGCAAAUUGACCCUGUAACUUCGGGAUAAAGGGUCCUCGUGAUGAGCGAGGCGCAGAGAAUAGGUCCAGGCAACUGUUUAACAAAAACACAGGGCUGUGCAAACUCGAAAGAUGACGUAUACAGCCUGACACCUGCCCGGUGCCGGAAGGUUAAGAGGAGAUGUCACUCGCAAGAGGAAGCAUUGAAUUGAAGCCCCGGUAAACGGCGGCCGUAACUAUAACGGUCCUAAGGUAGCGAAAUUCCUUGUCGGGUAAGUUCCGACCUGCACGAAUGGUGUAAUGAUCCGGACGCUGUCUCAACCAUGAGCUCAGUGAAAUUGUAGUAUCGGUGAAGAUGCCGAUUACCCGCGAUGGGACGAAAAGACCCCGUGAACCUUUACUACAGCUUAGCAUUGACCUUGGUCAUCCGAUGUGUAGGAUAGGCCGGAGGCUUCGAAGCGGGAGCGCCAGCUUUCGUGGAGCCAUCCUUGAAAUACGGCCCUUUGGCUGUCUGAGGUCUAACGCGCGAUGCGCGGACACUGCUUGGUGGGUAGUUUGACUGGGGUGGUCGCCUCCAAAAGCGUAACGGAGGCUUCCAAAGGUGCCCUCGGGUCGAUUGGUAACCGACCUCAAAGAGUGCAAUGGCAUAAGGGCGCUUGACUGGGAGGCAGACAUGCCGAGCAGGCAGGAAACUGGGGCAUAGUGAUCCGGCGGAUGUGUAUGGAAACUCCGUCGCUCAAAGGAUAAAAGGUACUCCGGGGAUAACAGGCUGAUCCCCCCCAAGAGCUCAUAUCGACGGGGUGGUUUGGCACCUCGAUGUCGGCUCGUCACAUCCUGGGGCUGGAGAAGGUCCCAAGGGUUGGGCUGUUCGCCCAUUAAAGUGGCACGCGAGCUGGGUUCAGAACGUCGUGAGACAGUUCGGUCUCUAUCUAUCGUGGGCGUGGGAGUUUUGAGUGGUGCCGUCACUAGUACGAGAGGACCGUGAUGGACAGACCUCCGGUUUACCAGUUGUGCCGCCAGGCGCACCGCUGGGUAUCUGAGUCUGGAUUGGAUAAGCGCUGAAAGCAUCUAAGUGCGAAGCCAGCCGCAAGAUGAGAACUCCAUUGAGGGUCGUCAAAGACGAUGACGUUGAUAGGAUGCAGGUGUAAAGACAGCGAUGUCAAAGCCGAGCAUUACUAAUUGCCCGAACACUUUCUUUA
This 2897-nucleotide ribosomal RNA is filed under the name Segatella copri. RNAcentral's name for it is "23S ribosomal RNA". It matches the Rfam family "Bacterial large subunit ribosomal RNA". Lineage: Bacteria; Pseudomonadati; Bacteroidota; Bacteroidia; Bacteroidales; Prevotellaceae. The record is from RNAcentral.